GCCGCGUCGGCAUCCAGGGCAGGGAGCCGCCGGCCCCGGCUCCGGACGGGGAGGCGCUGGCCCGGCCCGGCCCGGCCCGGCUCCGCUCGGGAAUGCCCCGGCAGGAAGGUGCCAGGGGUACCCGCAGCUCCGGGACUGUCGGGAACUCGCAGCUUGGCUCCCGCCCAUCGCGCUCGUCCCGCAGGGAAAAUCCCCGGCUCCGGAUCGGUAGCAGGGGUGAAACCUCCCAGAACGGGUCCCAAGGGCGCUGUGAAGGCUCUCGGUGCUGCAGCUUUUCUAUUCCAUUGGCAGAGAUUAUUUUACCUAGCCUUCAGGCGCGAUCAGAACUAAUGAACUCCCCGAGUUAAAGCUGCCCACGAUGCCCGUGCAGCCCUUGUCUGAGCAAGGGAAUCUUCUGAUUUCCCACUCUGAUCCAUGGGAAUUUAACACCCCUUCCCACUGGCACUGGAGAAUCCACAAAGCCGGCUCGCUUCCCUUUUGCUCCCUUGGUGCUUCAGGAUUACCAGGAAAAAGAAAUAAAGGCCCUUUAAAAAAUUGCACCAAAGAGGACUUGGCUGUUGGAGAGUUCCAGGGUUUCUCCUGCAAGGCAGUUUCUCUGAUUAGUUUUUCUCUGUCUUUAGAACAGAGAGUUGUGUUUAAGAGUAUUCCUCGUGGAGAAACAAACUGCGCUUUAGGAAACCUGGGAUCCAGAGGGGAAUGGAGACUCCCUUGGAUGUUUUGUCGAGAGCAGCAUCUCUGGUCCAUGCUGAUGAUGAGAAACAAAUUGUAGUUCCUGAUCUCAGAGCUGUGUGACCAUUGCUGCUGCUGAAGCCCAGCGUGUUCCCGGCAGGAGCUGCUCCCUGAACAGUGGCUCAGCUUCUCAUGACUCCCAACAGAUGUUUUGCCUUUAAAGGUCACUUAAACUUUCUGUCCAGGCUGGCUCCUCGCUGCCCAGAGCGUGCCAGCAGAGUUCAGAGCUGGAAUGGGGGCUGACAUCAGCAAUGAAAUGUCAUGGAUUUCUUGUUCAAUUUGUAGUUACCCAACCAAACCCCAGCAGCUGGCAGAGCACGGCUUGGAUUUCUUGUUCAAUUUGUAGUUACCCAACCAAACCCCAGCAGCUGGCAGAGCACGGCUCAAAAUGCUCCUUCCAUGGCAAAACAGGGAUGCUGUGAGCACCUGGGACAUGGUUCAAAAUGUUCCUUCCAUGGCAAAACAGGGAUUCUGUGAGCACCUGGGACAUGGUUCAAAAUGUUCCUUCCAUGGCAAAACAGGGAUUCUGUGAGCACCUGGGACAUGGUUCAAAAUGUUCCUUCCAUGGCAAAACAGGGAUGCUGUGAGCACCUGGGAUGUGGUUCAAAAUGCUCCUUCCAUGGUAAAACAGGGAUUCUGUGAACACCUGGGAUGUGGUGGGCUUCUCAAUGGCUUAAGACAAUCUCUGGAGUUCCAAGGGCUUGAUUUUUGCAAGGCUUCAAGAUGAAAUUUAUCCAUUUAUAGGUGGAGCAGAGGCAACCUGGCAAACCCACAUGACGAUGCAGAACCAUGCUGUAAUAAAAUCCUGAAUGUUGUUAUAUCUGCCUGCA
Molecule: long non-coding RNA, 1559 nt
Filed under: Cyanistes caeruleus (blue tit)
Lineage: Eukaryota; Metazoa; Chordata; Aves; Passeriformes; Paridae
Description: lncRNA (ENSCCEG00000024375.1)
Source: RNAcentral